AUUGCCCUAGUAACGGCGAGUGAAGCGGCAACAGCUCAAAUUUGAAAUCUGGCCUUAGGGUCCGAAUUGUAAUUUGUAGAGGAUGCUUUGGGCGCGGUGCCUUCCGAGUUCCUUGGAACAGGACGCCUUAGAGGGUGAGAGCCCCGUACGGUUGGACACCAAGCCUAUGUAAAGCUCCUUCGACGAGUCGAGUAGUUUGGGAAUGCUGCUCUAAAUGGGAGGUAAAUUUCUUCUAAAGCUAAAUACCGGCCAGAGACCGAUAGCGCACAAGUAGAGUGAUCGAAAGAUGAAAAGUACUUUGAAAAGAGGGUUAAAUAGCACGUGAAAUUGUUGAAAGGGAAGCAUUUAUGACCAGACCUUUGCUAGGUGGAUCAUCCGGUGUUCUUCACCGGUGCACUUCGCCUAGCUUAGGCCAGCAUCGAUUUCUGUAGGGGGAUAAAGGUCUAGGGAACGUAGCUCUCUACGGAGAGUGUUAUAGCCCUGGGCGUAAUACCCCUACGGGGAUCGAGGUUCGCGCUUCGGCAAGGAUGCUGGCAUAAUGGUCAUCAAUGACCCGUCUUGAAACACGGACCAAGGAGUCGAACAUUUAUGCGAGUGUUUGGGUGUUAAACCCUCACGCGUAAUGAAAGUGAACGGAGGUGAGAGCCCUUAAGGGUGCAUCAUCGACCGAUCCUGAUGUCUUCGGAUGGAUUUGAGUAAGAGCAUAACUGUUCGGACCCGAAAGAUGGUGAACUAUGCGUGGAUAGGGUGAAGCCAGAGGAAACUCUGGUGGAGGCUCGCAGCGGUUCUGACGUGCAAAUCGAUCGUCAAAUCUGCGCAUGGGGGCGAAAGACUUAUCGAACCAUCUAGUAGCUGGUUACCGCCGAA
RNAcentral lists this ribosomal RNA (867 nucleotides) under Allocryptovalsa microtheca. RNAcentral describes it as "LSU rRNA". It matches the Rfam family "Eukaryotic large subunit ribosomal RNA", at positions 74 to 965 of the family's 3401-position model. Lineage: Eukaryota; Fungi; Ascomycota; Sordariomycetes; Xylariales; Diatrypaceae. The record is from RNAcentral.